Molecule: non-coding RNA, 520 nt
Organism: Python bivittatus (Burmese python)
Lineage: Eukaryota; Metazoa; Chordata; Lepidosauria; Squamata; Pythonidae
Source: RefSeq, a predicted model, not a curated record
GGGUGCCUCGCGGUGGCGCGGCCGAGCUGCGGAGGGCCGGGCAAGAUGCGCUAUAGGGACCCCCCGCCUCCGAGCGCGCCUCUGUGCUCGCCUCCCUUCCGCCUCCCAAGCGGGGCUGCCCUUAACACCACCGGCCAUCUCCGUUUCUCCGGAUGGUCCCAGGGGAGCGGGCAGCGGCUUUGCUAACUGCCUCUCCUCCUCCGAAAAAGAAGACGUGCAACGUGCGGAGGGGGCGCUCUGGACUGAGGGGACGCGACCUGCGCCCCGGUCGCACCCUUUUCCUCCCCUCUUUUCCCAGCCAGGACCAGAAGAUGCCGAGCCCUUGGCUCACCUGCUGAGUUUCUACUUCUUAUGAUUGUGAUCCAGAGACAAGUGAUAUCUUCCCCAGAAGUCUGGUAUCCUAAAGAUGUGCUUGAUUGCUGUUCCCAAAUCCAAUGGCUAUGAAGACCAGGAUGAUGGUGUUACAGUCUAAUCUAUCUAGAGAGAUCCAGACUGGGAAAGGUUACAUAAAAUGGAGGAA